Molecule: long non-coding RNA, 283 nt
Filed under: Camelus dromedarius (Arabian camel)
Lineage: Eukaryota; Metazoa; Chordata; Mammalia; Artiodactyla; Camelidae
Description: lncRNA (ENSCDRG00005009694.1)
Source: RNAcentral
UUUAAUAGUGGUAUUUUCUUUGAAAAGUCAGUUUAUCAUGGAAAUGAUUUUGGCUCAUUAAAAUAAUAUUAAAUUACUAUACCAAUCAAUAUUUCAGGUCAUGACCUCUGGAUUUAAAAACUCAAGAUAAUAUUGAAUAUGAUCCAAGAGAAAAUGUGAUUUGAGACUGGAGACAAUUGUGCUUAUCAUAAUAAUAAAAACCCUGAUAGAAGAGAAGACUUUAUUCAGAAGAUUGCUACAAUUAAAAAGAAAAGCUUCUUCUAGUUUGAUUUAUAUUAUAUAG